RNAcentral lists this ribosomal RNA (459 nucleotides) under uncultured bacterium. RNAcentral's name for it is "bacterial SSU rRNA". It matches the Rfam family "Bacterial small subunit ribosomal RNA", at positions 28 to 487 of the family's 1533-position model. The record is from RNAcentral.
GACGAACGCUGGCGGUGUGCCUAACACAUGCAAGUCAACUUGACUGAAGGAGCAAUCUGACAGUAGAGUGGCGCAAGGGUGCGUAACGCGUAAGUAACUUGCCCAAGGUAAGGAAUAACGUCGAGAAAUCGGCGCUAAUACCUCAUAAUGCAGCGGAUCCGCAUGGAUAUGUUGUUAAAGGUUUACCGCCUUGGGAUAGGCUUGCGUCUGAUUAGUUAGUUGGUGUGGUAACGGCACACCAAGGCCACGAUCAGUAACUGGUCUGAGAGGAUGAUCAGUCACACUGGAACUGAGACACGGUCCAGACUCCUACGGGAGGCAGCAGUGAGGAAUAUUGGGCAAUGCUCGAAAGAGUGACCCAGCAACGCCGCGUGGAGGAUGAAGGUAUUCUAUAUCGUAAACUCCUGUGAGAGCAGACGAAAGACAGAUUAUUAAUCUGGAUGACUGUAUGCUCAGAGG